Long non-coding RNA from Trachemys scripta elegans, 4579 nucleotides. RefSeq lists it as uncharacterized. The transcript is spliced from 3 exons. The record is from RefSeq and is a predicted model, not a curated record. Lineage: Eukaryota; Metazoa; Chordata; Testudines; Emydidae.
GUUGUGAAACUGAUUGUGCCACUCUUGGUGUUGGCCAGAGUCCAGAAUGACAAGAAUUGAGAAAGAGGCUAAAGGUGGAAAUCUAAGGUUACAGAUUACAGACUAGCAGGCAAAGCACAGUUGAAAAUAUCAGUCAGUAGUCAGAGGUGUGCAUGUAAACUAAAUAGCUAGUGCUCUAGGGAGCCAUCUGACCUGCUGCAGGACUAAGUGAAAUCUACUCAUGGGGCAUCUGCUUUGACUAUAAUAAUUACAAAGCAAAAAAGACGACGUGUUAUCAUUCUCUUCAGUGACUGAGGAUCUGGAAAUAUCCUUAAGCUAACUAGAUGAAUGGGUCUGAAACCCUUCCUUUGCCAAGAUAAACAUGCCAAGCCAAAACCAAACAAAAACCCCACUCAUAUGCAAAAGUUUGCCCUUACCUUUACAUUAAAUCUAUGUGGAAAGUAAAGGAUUAUGGAAGAGGCGAGCUGCCACUACGGAAAAAGAAAAAUCUUUGGGAAGAAUAAGUCAGUGGUUAAUAAGAUUGCUCUCCUUGUUAAGUGUUGUAGGGAGGAGAUGUCUGCUUGGUUGAGAGUUAAAGACAGCAGAAUCCAUGGCUAACACAGAACUAACAGAGGCAUCCAGUAUUGCUUCACGGGCAACAUAAUCAAACAGGCUCAUGUGUUAUUCGCUACAAUUCUACUAGAGGCUUCACGGAAAUCCCAUAAGAAGCAGCACCAUAACAAGCGAAGUGAAAAUAACGGCAAGGCCACACCAGCAGAUUUCACUUUGAAGGACUAACCAACUCGAUGCGUGUUUAGAGUUCCUAAUGUUUUAUGGUGUAAUGUGGCCUACUGGAUAAAGCACUGAAUUGGCACUCAAGAGACCUGAGUUCUAUUCCUGGCUGCGCUAUUGACUUUUGGGUAAGUCCCUUCACCUCUCUAUGCAUCAGUUCAUGUGUUUUUAAAAUGGGGACAGUUAUACGUACCUAUUUUGCAAAUUGUUUUGAGAUCUACUGAUGAAAAAUGCUAUAUGACAGCUACAUUUCUUCCAUAUGUUAGUGCAAACAUUCAGAAAGGAAGACAUCCCGGUAUCUAUGUGGUCCAUUAUGGAUCAAAUCAUCCUUGCCUUACUUGAGUCCUAUUCUCGUCAUUGGCACUACUUACGUCGUGAAUAAAGUAAGGUUAAAAAUGGAAAACUGGGGCUGAAUGGAAUUCAUGCCUUCUACAAUUUUGUUUCUUGUGCUCUAUUUCAGGGGUGCCCAACCUACAGCUUGCGGGCCGUAUACAGCCCACCAGAGCAUUUCAUAAGGCCCGCAGCUUGCUUCACUACAAUAUACUAGCUGUCGAUUCAUUAGCUUUUUGUUGUCACGUUUACAUCAUUGUAGUUUACACAAGGAAGUAUCAAAAAAUGUGAUAAAGAAUGGGUUUAAUUAAAAAAAAGUGUCACGUUUCAUAUAAGCGCAAACCUGUAAAUAAUAACUCUGUUCGCAGCUCAGAUAUAGGCUAACCAGACCAAUACUUCCUUAGUGAUUGUUGCUAUAAAAAUUCAGGAAGACGCCUUUGGACAUGAACAUAUUAGCUAUAGCCUAUCCCAGAUGCAAUACGUUUGAUGGGCGAUGCGAAAAUGCCUCCAACAAAAAACAGAACAUGGACAUUGAAUGUUGUUUUUUUCAAGGUAAGUGGACCAAUCAAUUCUUUUUUGUGCCCUAUCAAGACAAAUCAGUAGGUCUGAUUUGUAAAGAAACAGCUGCAGUAUGGAAGGAAUAUAACAUCGAGACACUACGACAUGAAACACAAGGAAAGUAUGAUGACUACAAAGGUGCACACUGAACUGCAAAGAUCACGUCUUUGGAAAAAAAAGAAGUUGGAAGUUUACAGCAAAUGCUAAGAAGAAAAUGCAGCAGUAGUGAAGGCAAGCUACUGUUACGUAUUUACUAAGUGUAAAUCUUUUUCUGACAGGGAGUUCAUAAAAAAGUGUAUGAAUGUGGUUAUGGAGGAAAUGUGUCCUGACAAAAGGGAACUUAUGGAAGCAGUAAGUCCGUCUCGCCAGAUCAUUACUUGAAGAUGAUGAUGUUGGUGCAGAUUUAAAAGAACAGCUCUGCGAUUUUGAGAUUUUUUUUCAGUGGCUUUGCAUGAAAGCAAUGACAUUACUGACCGUGCUUAGCUGCUAAUUUUCAUUCAUGGAAUAGACGAGGCAUUUCAAAUCACUGAGGAGCUUGCAGCACUCCAGACGCUUCAUGGGAAAACUACAGGUGAAGACUUGUUUUGGAGAUUUGCCAACACUAUUAGGGAACUCGGUCUGUCUUGGAAUCAACAUGGUAGACCACAAGACUGGACUGACUGGGCUGCAUAAGGAGAUUGAUUUGUGCAAUGCUGAAAGGCCAAUGGCGUUGCAUGGUAUUAAUCACCAACCUGCUCUGUCAGGAAAAGUUCUAAACUUGGAAAAUGUAAUGAAAACUGUGGUGGCCACUGUCAACUUGAUCAGGGCACGUAGGUUGAAUCACCACUCUUUUCAAGCAUUCCUGAAGGAAAUUGAUUCAGAAUAAUGAGGUAUGUUGGCUUAGUCACAGAAAUGUGCUCAAACAUUUCUUCACCUUGCAGAAUUAAAUCAAUAUGUUCAUGAAUGAAAAGUUUAAAAAUGUACCUAAACACUCAGAUCCAAUGUGGUUGUAGGGAUUUGGCAGUUCUAACAGAUUUAACACACCAUUUGACCUAGCUCAGAUUGAAGUUGCAAGGUAAAGAAAGGCUUGUUUCCCAGUUAUACUCAGAUGUGAAAGCCUUUCACGCAAAACUGAAACUCUUGUGACAACACUCAGAGAGGGGAACACUAUCUCACUUUCCUUCUUGUGAAGAACUCAGGAUGAAAAUGUCAGUGUUCCGGUUCCAUGUGCCCAAAUGGUAAAAUGACUAGACCUCUUGGAUGAGAAUUUUGAAGUCAGAUUUUCCAAAUUCAAGUCAUAGGCAAUUGACAUCUGUCUGUUUGAAAACUGUUUUGUUUCUAACGUGGAUAAUGUCCUUGUCUCUCUGCAAAUGGAAUUGACUGAACUGCAGUUUAACUCCUAUUUAAAAGACAUAUUUCACAAAAAGAAACUGGUGGAGUUUUCCUCACUGCUGCCCAAUAAUCGUUUCCAAAAUCUGCGCAAAUUUGCUAGAUGAAUGUGUACAAUUUUUGGCAGCACAUACAUCUGCGAACAAAUUUUCUCAGUUAUGAAGCAGAAUAAGUCUAAGCUGCGGUACCUCCUAACAGAUGACCACCUGCAUGCUGUAUUUCAGAUGAGCGUCUCUGACUUUGAGCCAAAUUUCAACAAACUGGUUGCUGAGAAACCACCUUAGACUUCUCACUAACUCAGAAAGUGCACUCUUUGUUUGUGAUUACGGAGACGGUUAUUUGUUCUUUACUGGUUUAUUCCUGUUUUCUGUCAUCCUGAUACACAUUUUAUUCACUGAUUUCUUUGUUUUUUAAAUAGACAACACUGUACAUAGAAACAACCUGUCUAAAUAUAUGCAAAACAGGCUGAACUUAAAAUAUAAAUCAAUACAGGUGACUUUAAAUCUUACGAAAAUAUGUAGAAUCUGUUUGAUCCACAUAAGGUUGUGCUUAGGGUUAUGUGGACCUCUCGUGUAGAAAGGUUGGGCACCACUGCUAAAUGACCUUGCAAUCUCAAUGCAUUUGGCCCCUUAAUCUCCUAAUUCAAAUAAUUUCUGAGGACUCUGACAACAGGCCCACAAGCCGUUAACUGAGCUCUCCAUCUCAUGAUUUUUAAGGAAGAGUGUAAGAAGGAAAAGAAAGUUUUUGAUUAGAAAAUAUAUGUAAUGCUCUAACCACUUUCUCUUCUGGGUCUCCCAGUGAGUCUUGCCUUAUCAGUGUCUGCAUUUUAAACUGUAAACUUCUUGGGCAUGCAUUGUCUGCAAAUGUGCCUUUGUACUGUGCCCAUCACGAAUGCUUAAUAAUCUCCAUUUAGAGUGCUGAUUCCAAAGGAAAACUGCUACAUUUCUGAAAUGAAUGGCUAUAGUGGAAACAUUGCUGAGCAACAAUUAUUGUCCCUAGGAUUAAAUACUGAUCUCCGUUUUACCUUUGUGUAAAUAUUCACUUCUCAAAAAUAAAUCUGGAUAACAAAAUCUGCUGAGCUGAACGUUGCUUAUUAUUUGAAACUUCUGAUACUCUCCCAUCUCUAAAUAGCAGAAGUUUAUUCAAGUAAAAAAAACCCAAAAACCAGACAUACUUGCAGUUGGCAACACACACAGAAUGCACAUGCAGAUCUGCAUAAAAUCUCCUCUCCAAAAGAAAGUGCCACCUUUGUUGCCCAAGUGCCAAGUAAAAUAAUAAAUUCAGAAUCUUUUCAAAUGACUGUUUCCAAAGCAGUAGUAAAGAACAAAAAAUGGCUGCUGCUUUUAGAGCCCUUUUGCCCCUUCAUUCUUAAUACCUACCACACAAUCUAACUGCAAGCUUGGAGUGUGGGGGAAGAGGAGCUUUUUCCCUAGAAGGCAAUAAUACAAAGUGUUGACCAUAGCACAGAAUACACUUUUGAAUUAAUGGUGCCCCAUUGGUAUUUCAUAAUAGAAAAAUUAAGGAACAAUUUCAGGAAAUACAGGGGGGAAAA